UACGUAGGGUGCAAGCGUUGUCCGGAAUUACUGGGCGUAAAGGGCGCGUAGGCGGACAGUUUAGUCAGAGGUGAAAGCCCAGGGCUCAACCUUGGAAAUGCCUUUGAUACCGGCUGUCUUGAGUUCGGGAGAGGUGAGUGGAAUGCCGAGUGUAGAGGUGAAAUUCGUAGAUAUUCGGCGGAACACCAGUGGCGAAGGCGACUCACUGGCCCGAUACUGACGCUGAGACGCGAAAGCGUGGGGAGCGAACAGG
This 253-nucleotide ribosomal RNA is filed under the name uncultured bacterium. RNAcentral describes it as "partial 16S ribosomal RNA". It matches the Rfam family "Bacterial small subunit ribosomal RNA", at positions 524 to 776 of the family's 1533-position model. The record is from RNAcentral.